GGGCUCCUCAUAUAAUGGUAAUAUAACAGGCUUUUAAUCUGUUUACGAGGGUUCAAUUCCCCCGGGGCUCA
Molecule: transfer RNA, 71 nt
Filed under: Eubacteriales Family XIII. Incertae Sedis bacterium
Lineage: Bacteria; Bacillati; Bacillota; Clostridia; Peptostreptococcales; Anaerovoracaceae
Description: tRNA-Lys
Rfam family: tRNA
About the family: Transfer RNA (tRNA) molecules are approximately 80 nucleotides in length. Their secondary structure includes four short double-helical elements and three loops (D, anti-codon, and T loops).
Source: RNAcentral